GACCUGUUGGCGUAGUCGGCAGGGCACCCACAAUAAUUGCGUGCUAAGUUAACUCCUAUGUGGGAGGCCCCAGUUCAAUUCUGGGACGGGUCA
Mycena rebaudengoi is the source of this 93-nucleotide non-coding RNA. The record is from the annotation of a GenBank genome assembly. NCBI's taxonomy places the organism in Eukaryota, Fungi, Basidiomycota, Agaricomycetes, Agaricales, Mycenaceae.